RNAcentral lists this unclassified non-coding RNA (258 nucleotides) under uncultured fungus. Its description in RNAcentral is "sequence contains ITS1, 5.8S rRNA gene". The stretch from base 210 to 258 matches the Rfam family "5.8S ribosomal RNA", at positions 1 to 49 of the family's 154-position model. The record is from RNAcentral. Lineage: Eukaryota; Fungi.
UCUCCGUUGGUGAACCAGCGGAGGGAUCAUUACAGAGUUUAACGACUCCAAACCACCGUGAAAACACCCGUCUGUUGCCUCGGCGGGACGCGCGGGGGGUUUGAGGCUCUCGCGGGCCUCGCCCCGGGGCGGACCGCCGGCGGCCCCACUCCACUCUUAUGUAAGCGGCACUGCCUGUCUGAUUAUACUGUUACCGAAAUGGAAAACACAACUUUCAACAACGGAUCUCUUGGCUCUGGCAUCGAUGAAGAACGCAGC